GUGGGGAAUAUUGGACAAUGGGCGAAAGCCUGAUCCAGCCAUGCCGCGUGUGUGAAGAAGGUCUUCGGAUUGUAAAGCACUUUAAGUUGGGAGGAAGGGCAGUAAGUUAAUACCUUGCUGUUUUGACGUUACCGACAGAAUAAGCACCGGCUAACUUCGUGCCAGCAGCCGCGGUAAUACGAAGGGUGCAAGCGUUAAUCGGAAUUACUGGGCGUAAAGCGCGCGUAGGUGGUUUUGUAAGUUGGAGGUGAAAUCCCCGGGCUCAACCUGGGAACUGACUCCAAAACUGCAUGACUAGAGUACGGUAGAGGUUAGUGGAAUUUCCUGUGUAGCGGUGAAAUGCGUAGAUAUAGGAAGGAACACCAGUGGCGAAGGCGACUACCUGGACUGAUACUGACACUGAGGUGCGAAAGCGUGGGGAGCAAACAGGAUUAGAAACCCUUGUAGUCC
Molecule: ribosomal RNA, 450 nt
Filed under: uncultured bacterium
Lineage: Bacteria
Description: bacterial SSU rRNA
Rfam family: Bacterial small subunit ribosomal RNA
Source: RNAcentral